Molecule: ribosomal RNA, 580 nt
Filed under: uncultured archaeon
Lineage: Archaea
Description: bacterial SSU rRNA
Rfam family: Archaeal small subunit ribosomal RNA
Source: RNAcentral
GCGCUUCCUAGCCACGAAGGGAGCGCGGCGCACAGCUCAGUAGCACGUGGCUAACCUGCCCUUGGGACGGGAACAACCCCGGGAAACUGGGGCUAAUUCCCGAUAGGUGAAGAACUCUGGAAUGAGUCUUUGCCGAAAGGGCGUUUACGUCAUGCUCGUAGGCGCUGCCCAAGGAUGGGGCCGCGGCCGAUCAGGUUGUUGGUGAGGUAACGGCUCACCAAGCCUAUAACCGGUGCGGGCCGUGAGAGCGGGAGCCCGGAGAUGGGCACUGAGACAAGGGCCCAGGCCCUACGGGGCGCAGCAGUCGCGAAACCUUUGCAAUACACGAAAGUGUGACAGGGUUAUCCCGAGUGCCGUCCGCUGAGGAUGGCUUUUACCCAGUCUAGCAAGCUGGGGGAAUAAGGAGAGGGCAAGUCUGGUGUCAGCCGCCGCGGUAAUACCAGCUCUCCGAGUGGUGGGGACGUUUAUUGGGCCUAAAGCAUCCGUAGCUGGCCGUUCAAGUCCCCUGUUAAACCCAGCGAUUUAAUCGUUGGUCUGCGGGGGAUACUGUUCGGCUAGGGGACGAGAGAGGCAGACGGUA